Small nucleolar RNA from Elgaria multicarinata webbii, 71 nucleotides. RefSeq annotates it as small nucleolar RNA SNORD30. Lineage: Eukaryota; Metazoa; Chordata; Lepidosauria; Squamata; Anguidae. The record is from RefSeq and is a predicted model, not a curated record. The transcript has a single exon.
UGACAUGAUGAUCUCUCUUUUGGAAUCUCGUUCGGCUGAAUAUUCCUGUUGAGAAGUGGAAUCUGAGUAUC